This 362-nucleotide ribosomal RNA is filed under the name Challia sp. YKCP001. Its description in RNAcentral is "partial 16S ribosomal RNA". The record is from RNAcentral. Lineage: Eukaryota; Metazoa; Arthropoda; Insecta; Dermaptera; Pygidicranidae.
GGUACCUUGAUCUUUUUUCAUUUAAUUAUGGAUCUUAGGCUCACUUAUGAGUGUUUAUUUUUAAAAAGGAGGUUUUUUUUAUUUCCUUUGUUGCCCCAACAAAACAUUAUUGUUCUUCUUUGAGUUUGAAGUUUUAAAUGUAAAGGUCUACAGGGUCUUGUCGUCUUUUUAGUAUAUUUUAGCCUUUUGACUAAAAGGUUAAUUUAGAUAUUAUCAUUAGAGACAGUUUUUAUCUCGUUUAAUCUUUCAUUCAAGUCUUUAAUUAGAAGACUAUUGAUUAUGCUACCUUUGCACGGUCAGGGUACCGCGGCCAUUAAAUUUUUCAUUGGGCAGAUCAUACCUCUUAUAUAGUUCAAGGGGAA